CAAGUACUCCCUCCGUCCGGAAUUACUUGUCAUCAAAAUGGAUGUUUCUAGAACUAAAAUAUAUCUAGAUACAUCCAUUUCAAUGACAAGUAUUUUCGGACGGAGGGAGUACAAG
Triticum aestivum (bread wheat) is the source of this 115-nucleotide non-coding RNA. The record is from Rfam. NCBI's taxonomy places the organism in Eukaryota, Viridiplantae, Streptophyta, Magnoliopsida, Poales, Poaceae.